AUCCAGCUGAUGAGUGCCAAAUAGGACGAAACGCGCGUCCUGGAU
RNAcentral lists this non-coding RNA (45 nucleotides) under Schistosoma margrebowiei. Lineage: Eukaryota; Metazoa; Platyhelminthes; Trematoda; Strigeidida; Schistosomatidae. The record is from RNAcentral.